AAAACUGCGUAGGAGAUCAUUAAUACAAUAGUAUUAUAUAAACCAAGCCUGAUGUUGGCCGCUCAUUCAAAGAAUGCAGCAGUGUGACAGCCAGCAAUCAAAAGUAACAAGAUGUCGAGGAAAUGCAGAGUGCAAUAAACUUUGUAGGAGAUUAUGAUUGCAAUAGAAUAAAAUCGACCAAGCCUGAAGUUCUUCAAUGCACGCAGCAGUGUGACAGCCAGCAAUCAAAAGUUACAAGAUAUCGAGGAAAUGCAGAAGGCAAAAAACUGCGCAGGAGAUUAUUAAUACAAUAGUAUUAUAUCAACCAAGCCUGAUGUCGGUAGCUUCUUCAAUGAAUGCAGCAGUGUGACAGCCAGCAAUCAAUAGUGAUAGUGACAAGAAUCUAGGAAAUACAGAAGGCAAAGAAGCAGAUGUCAUCAAAGAAGAUCUUUGUUCCUGCAAUGUUUCCGCAGACGAUACAUCCAACAGAGCGAAGUGGAAGGAAAAGACUCGGAAAAAAGACCCCACCACCAUAUGGGAACAAUGCAAGGGAGAGAGAGAGAAUAUAAUUUUAUAUUUUUAUUUUUUGAUAACAUAAAAUAAACCAACAAUAUCCUACACAUUUUUUUUAUUUCUUUUUGUGUCUGUCUUAAUAGUUAUUACAAAUCUGUGAUGCGAAACAAACUAUACGAAAACG
RNAcentral lists this long non-coding RNA (676 nucleotides) under Pectinophora gossypiella (pink bollworm). RNAcentral's name for it is "uncharacterized LOC126381475". Lineage: Eukaryota; Metazoa; Arthropoda; Insecta; Lepidoptera; Gelechiidae. The record is from RNAcentral.